Molecule: ribosomal RNA, 206 nt
Filed under: uncultured bacterium
Lineage: Bacteria
Description: partial 16S ribosomal RNA
Rfam family: Bacterial small subunit ribosomal RNA
Source: RNAcentral
GGAUUGAAGGCUGAAAUUCGCCUUCAUGAAGCUGGAAUUGCUAGUAAUGGCAGGUCAGCAUACUGCCGUGAAUACGUUCCCGGGCCUUGUACACACCGCCCGUCACACCAUGAGAGUUGGGAAUACCCGAAGCCUGUGAGCUAACUGUAAGGAGGCAGCAGUCGAAGGUAGAAUCAAUGAUUGGGGUGAAGUCGUAACAAGGUAGC